This 336-nucleotide unclassified non-coding RNA is filed under the name soil metagenome. RNAcentral describes it as "partial contains 5.8S ribosomal RNA, internal transcribed spacer 2, and large subunit ribosomal RNA". The stretch from base 1 to 120 matches the Rfam family "5.8S ribosomal RNA", at positions 35 to 154 of the family's 154-position model. The record is from RNAcentral.
GAUGAAGAACGUAGCGAAAUGCGAUAAGUAAUGUGAAUUGCAGAAUUCAGUGAAUCAUCGAAUCUUUGAACGCACAUUGCGCCCGCCAGUAUUCUGGCGGGCAUGCCUGUUCGAGCGUCAUUUCAACCAUCAAGCCCCAGGCUUGUGUUGGGGACCUGCGGCUGCCGCAGGCCCUGAAAACCAGUGGCGGGCUCGCUGUCACACCGGGCGUAGUAGAUUUUAUCUCGCUCAGGGCGCGCUGCGGGUUCCGGCCGUUAAAAAGCCUUUUUUACCCAAGGUUGACCUCGGAUCAGGUAGGAAGACCCGCUGAACUUAAGCAUAUCAAUAAGCGGAGGA